GAAAUGCGAUACCUGGUGUGAAUUGCAGAAUCCCGCGAACCAUCGAGUCUUUGAACGCAAGUUGCGCCCGAGGCCACUUGGCCGAGGGCACGCCUGCCUGGGCGUCACGCCAAACACGCUCUCACACCUCAUCGGGUUGUGGGAUGCGGCAUGUGGCCCCCCGUCUAGCAAUAGGCGGUGGGCCAAAGAUGCGGCUGCCGGCGUAUCGUGUCGGACACAGCGCGUGGUGGGCGAACUCGCUUUACUUACCGCAGUGCGUCCGACCUAUAGCCGGCGUGAUGGCCUUAACGACCCUAGGAACGGAGUGCUUGAUGCUCCGACCGCGACCCCAGGUCAGGCGGGACUACCCGCUGAAUUUAA
RNAcentral lists this non-coding RNA (360 nucleotides) under Poa alpina subsp. vivipara. Its description in RNAcentral is "eukaryotic LSU rRNA". The stretch from base 1 to 107 matches the Rfam family "5.8S ribosomal RNA", at positions 50 to 154 of the family's 154-position model. RNAcentral also lists the same sequence under 1 other name. Lineage: Eukaryota; Viridiplantae; Streptophyta; Magnoliopsida; Poales; Poaceae. The record is from RNAcentral.